GCAGGGCGGGAGACCGCUGAGGAGGCACCCUCAAGUUCACCUCAGGCUCAUGACACCAGCCCCGCCGCGGUUCCCCCAACCGGCUUUCCGUUGGCCCUGGCGGCUGCGGAACGGUCAACUAGACUCCACCAGCUGAAGCCGGGAUCACCUGGGAAGCAGCCAGGCCGCCCGGAGGCCACGCCCGGGGGAGGAGCUUGCGGACGCCCAGUCGGGUGGAGCACGCCAGGCUGCUGACUUGAGUAAACCAAUAGAUAAAAGGAUAUACAAAGGAACACAGCCUACUUGUCAUGACUUCAACCACCUAACAGCCACAGCAGAAAGUGUCUCUCUCCUAGUGGGCUUUUCCGCAGGCCAAGUCCAGCUUAUAGACCCAAUCAAAAAAGAAACUAGCAAACUUUUUAAUGAGGAAAGACUAAUAGACAAGUCACGAGUUACCUGUGUCAAAUGGGUUCCCGGUUCGGAAAGCCUUUUCCUAGUAGCCCACUCGAGU
Molecule: small RNA, 490 nt
Filed under: Pongo abelii (Sumatran orangutan)
Lineage: Eukaryota; Metazoa; Chordata; Mammalia; Primates; Hominidae
Description: processed transcript
Source: RNAcentral